UGGGGAAUAUUGGGCAAUGGGGGGAACCCUGACCCAGCAACGCCGCGUGAAGGAAGAAGGUUUUCGGAUUGUAAACUUCUGUCCUUGGUGAAGAGGAAGAGACGGUAGCCAAGGAGGAAGCCCCGGCUAACUACGUGCCAGCAGCCGCGGUAAUACGUAGGUGGCAAGCGUUGUCCGGAAUUAUUGGGCGUAAAGAGCAUGUAGGCGGGAAUCUAAGUCUGUUGUGAAAAUGCGGGGCUCAACCCCGUAUUGCGAUGGAAACUGGGUUUCUUGAGUGCAGGAGAGGAAAGGGGAAUUCCCAGUGUAGCGGUGAAAUGCGUAGAUAUUGGGAGGAACACCAGUGGCGAAGGCGCCUUUCUGGACUGUGUCUGACGCUGAGAUGCGAAAGCCAGGGUAGCGAACGGG
This 405-nucleotide ribosomal RNA is filed under the name uncultured prokaryote. RNAcentral's name for it is "bacterial SSU rRNA". It matches the Rfam family "Bacterial small subunit ribosomal RNA", at positions 355 to 776 of the family's 1533-position model. The record is from RNAcentral.